This 73-nucleotide transfer RNA is filed under the name Myotis myotis. It matches the Rfam family "tRNA". From Rfam's summary of the family: Transfer RNA (tRNA) molecules are approximately 80 nucleotides in length. Their secondary structure includes four short double-helical elements and three loops (D, anti-codon, and T loops). RNAcentral also lists the same sequence under 3 other names. The record is from Rfam by way of RNAcentral. Lineage: Eukaryota; Metazoa; Chordata; Mammalia; Chiroptera; Vespertilionidae.
UAGAUUGAAGCCAGUUGUUUAGGGUUUUUAGCUGUUAACUAAUGUUUCAUGGGUUUGAAUCCCAUCAAUCUAG